Non-coding RNA from Lentinula aciculospora, 116 nucleotides. The record is from the annotation of a GenBank genome assembly. NCBI's taxonomy places the organism in Eukaryota, Fungi, Basidiomycota, Agaricomycetes, Agaricales, Omphalotaceae.
AUCCUGGUAGUACAUCGGUUAGUACACGCGCCAUUCAUGAACUGAACAAUACUUUACGAUGAUAUUGGCUUGUGAAUGUUCUGUGCGAAAGCUGGGCUCGACUCCCAGCCAGGGUC